RNAcentral lists this ribosomal RNA (800 nucleotides) under uncultured bacterium. Its description in RNAcentral is "bacterial SSU rRNA". It matches the Rfam family "Bacterial small subunit ribosomal RNA", at positions 8 to 817 of the family's 1533-position model. The record is from RNAcentral.
AGAGUUUGAUCCUGGCUCAGGACGAACGCUGGCGGCGUGCUUAACACAUGCAAGUCGAACGGAAUCCAUGGUGUAGCAAUACACCGGAAGAUUUAGUGGCGAACGGGUGAGGAUCACGUGAGAAACGUGCCCCAGACUCUGGGAUAACAAUUGGAAACGAUUGCUAAUACCGGAUGACGUCGGAGAAUCGCAUGAUUCACUGACGAAAGAUAUUUCGGUUUGGGAGCGUCUCGCGGCCUAUCAGCUUGUUGGUGGGGUAAUGGCCUACCAAGGCAACGACGGGUAGCUGGUCUGAGAGGAUGAUCAGCCACACUGGGACUGAGACACGGCCCAGACUCCUACGGGAGGCAGCAGUGGGGAAUCUUGCGCAAUGGGCGAAAGCCUGACGCAGCAACGCCGCGUGCGGGAUGAAGGCCUUCGGGCUGUAAACCGCUUUCAGCAGGAACGAAAAUGACGGUACCUGCAGAAGAAGGAGCGGCCAACUACGUGCCAGCAGCCGCGGUGACACGUAGGCUCCAAGCGUUGUCCGGAUUUAUUGGGCGUAAAGAGCUCGUAGGCGGUUGAGUAAGUCGGGUGUGAAAACUCUGGGCUUAACCCGGAGACGCCAUCCGAUACUGCUCUGACUAGAGUUCAGGAGGGGAGUGGGGAAUUCCUAGUGUAGCGGUGAAAUGCGCAGAUAUUAGGAGGAACACCGGUGGCGAAGGUGCCACUCUGGACUGAAACUGACGCUGAGGAGCGAAAGCAUGGGUAGCAAACAGGAUUAGAUACCCUGAUAGUCCAUGCCGUAAACGGUGGGCACU